This 497-nucleotide ribosomal RNA is filed under the name uncultured bacterium. RNAcentral's name for it is "partial 16S ribosomal RNA". It matches the Rfam family "Bacterial small subunit ribosomal RNA", at positions 28 to 507 of the family's 1533-position model. The record is from RNAcentral.
GAUGAACGCUGGCGGCGUGCCUAAUACAUGCAAGUCGAGCGAACAGACGAGGAGCUUGCUCCUCUGACGUUAGCGGCGGACGGGUGAGUAACACGUGGAUAACCUACCUAUAAGACUGGGAUAACUUCGGGAAACCGGAGCUAAUACCGGAUAAUAUAUUGAACCGCAUGGUUCAAUAGUGAAAGACGGUUUUGCUGUCUCUUAUAGAUGGAUCCGCGCCGCAUUAGCUAGUUGGUAAGGUAACGGCUUACCAAGACAACGAUGCGUAGCCGACCUGAGAGGGUGAUCGGCCACACUGGAACUGAGACACGGUCCAGACUCCUACGGGAGGCAGCAGUAGGGAAUCUUCCGCAAUGGGCGAAAGCCUGACGGAGCAACGCCGCGUGAGUGAUGAAGGUCUUCGGAUCGUAAAACUCUGUUAUUAGGGAAGAACAAAUGUGUAAGUAACUAUGCACGUCUUGACGGUACCUAAUCAGAAAGCCACGGCUAACUACGUG